GGGAUUUGUCAAUUUCGACCGGAUACCUCUCUAUACAUAAAACAUACAUCCCGGUACGGGCAGACACUCGUCGGGCAGUUCGAAUGCCAUCAUAAUGUAUUGUGUUUGCGUUCUCGAACAUCGCAAAGGACACUGCAGUCGUUUCGAGCCCGUAUCGAGAAUAAAUUACUAUACGACACCCGCAGGAACAAUAUCGGCGCCCCUCGAUUUUACUGCUGCUGCUGUUGCUGCUGCACUAUACGGCGCAUAGUAGGUAUCGAAAUAAUAGUUAACCGUAAAUGGUUUUCGGCCC
Non-coding RNA from Cinara cedri, 292 nucleotides. NCBI's taxonomy places the organism in Eukaryota, Metazoa, Arthropoda, Insecta, Hemiptera, Aphididae. The record is from the annotation of a GenBank genome assembly.